UAGGGAAUCUUCCACAAUGGGCGCAAGCCUGAUGGAGCAACACCGCGUGAGUGAAGAAGGGUUUCGGCUCGUAAAGCUCUGUUGUUAAAGAAGAACACGUAUGAGAGUAACUGUUCAUACGUUGACGGUAUUUAACCAGAAAGUCACGGCUAACUACGUGCCAGG
This 165-nucleotide ribosomal RNA is filed under the name uncultured bacterium. RNAcentral describes it as "partial 16S ribosomal RNA". It matches the Rfam family "Bacterial small subunit ribosomal RNA", at positions 355 to 512 of the family's 1533-position model. The record is from RNAcentral.